AUUUGCAGUCCUGGAUUGGAGUUGUGUUGAAAGUGAGAAACUGGUAGUGAUUGCAUUGCUAUUAGAAGGUUAGACCAUCCCAUGUUUGCCCAGUUAUCAGCUUCUGCCCACAGUGAGCUAACCACGCUGUAAACACAUUUCUUGGCCAUGCUGAAGGGUGGGUGAUAGAAGCAACGUGUUCUCUUGGGCCUCUUCAAAGGCCUUGGAAAAUGGCAGCCUGGGAUGGACUUCUUCAAAGGCCUAUGUGCUGUAACAGCUUGUCCAGUGGGUGUGUCUGUGCCAGAACAGAACAAAUUGUUCUAGAAUAGAAUGUAUUUAACAGGCAUUUCUCAGCACCAGGUGGAGGCUUUCCUGGACUCCAGUUCUAACAUCUAAGUUGCUCAUAGCUAGAGAGGAUAUUUGUAAUUUGAGACAGAAUUUUCCCAUUUCCCAAAGGGCUUUCUUCUCUAUAAAGUAGGACCUAAAUGACUUCCCUUAAAAGACAGAUGAAAUAGUUACCAAUUCUGUGCAAAGGAGGGACCCUGAAAUGCUGGCACAGGGGGUCAGAAGUGAUUGUGCUCCACGGUACAACAGAAUGACAAAAAGCAGUAAAGAAUUAUCCACGUCAGUCUCCAAAUGGCCCCAGAAGGACAGUGGACUGCAAAUGGAAACUGCUCUAAUAGGAACUCUGAGAGGAGAAAAAAAUUUAGCUGUGUCUUCUGUAUAGCAAAUGUGUAAGAGGGUUUAAAGUUGAGAAAGUUGUGGAUCUAAUUUAUUCAGUGUUCCUGGGUUGGAUUGGAUCAGCACAAUGGCAUCUGCAAACAGAGGCAUCUGAAGGCCAUCACCAUCCAUGAAGAAGAACAUAAGAGAACUUGGACUUGAAAAAUUUACCUGCAAGUAGGAAAGACUGUUUAGGAAUGUACAUGUCUCUGUUUUGUGCCAUGCUUGUUUUCAAUAAUUAGAGCAGAAAUACUUAACCUGGAGUCCACAGAGCUCCCAAAGAACUCAUGGGUUGUUUCAAGGGGCCUCAAUUAAUGAGGAAAAUAAGUUUAUAUCUUUAUUUUCACCAACCUUUGGUUUCUUUAUGAUGUUAUGUAUUUUAUUUUAUGUAUUUAACAAAAUUUUUCUGAGAAAGAGUAAUUAGGCCUCCAGAGACUCCCAAAGGGGUCCACAACACACCAAAAAAUUAAGAACCUUUGAAUGAGAGGAUUAAUGAACAAAAUUCUUUGUUGUCACAUCUAUUAAAGAGUCUUAUGUUAUUUUAA
Molecule: non-coding RNA, 1244 nt
Organism: Monodelphis domestica (gray short-tailed opossum)
Lineage: Eukaryota; Metazoa; Chordata; Mammalia; Didelphimorphia; Didelphidae
Source: RefSeq, a predicted model, not a curated record